Molecule: ribosomal RNA, 433 nt
Filed under: uncultured bacterium
Lineage: Bacteria
Description: partial 16S ribosomal RNA
Rfam family: Bacterial small subunit ribosomal RNA
Source: RNAcentral
AACGAACGCUGGCGGCAUGCCUAACACAUGCAAGUCGAACGAGACCUCCGGGACUAGUGGCGCACGGGGGCGUAACGCGGGGGAAGCUGCCCUUAGGUUCCGAAUAAUUCCCUUAAGGGGGUGCUAAUGCAGGAAAAUGUACUCGGACAAAAGAUUUAUCGCCCUUGGGUGGGCCCGAGAUGGUUUAGCUGGUUGGGAGUGUAAAAGCCGAUCAAGGCGUCGUUCCAUAGCUGGUCUGAGAGAAAGGUCAGCCACACUGGGGCUGAGACACGGCCCAGACUCCUACGGGAGGGAGGAGUGGGUGAUACAGGCCUAUGGGCGAGAGCCUGAUCCAGCACUGCUGGGUAAGUCCUGAAGGUGUUAGGGAUGUGAAGCUCUUUUACCCGGGAUGAUAAUGACGGUACCGGGAGAAUAAGCACCGGCUAACUCCGUG